CAAUAGCGUAUAUUAAAGUUGUUGCAGUUAAAAAGCUCGUAGUUGGAUUUCUGGGAGGGUGCCGCCGUCCGGCGUGUCCGUGUGCAGUGGCGCCCUUCCAUCCUUCUGUUAGCGUCUCUUGGCAUUCAUUUGCUGGUGGCGGGCUCAGAUAUUUUACCUUGAGAAAAUUAGAGUGUUUCGGGCAGGCUAGGCCGGAAUACAUUAGCAUGGAAUAAUGGAAUAGGACUACGGUCUCUUUGUUGGUUUGAGGGACUGCAGUAAUGAUUAAUAGGGAUAGUUGGGGGCAUUAGUAUUUAAUUGUCAGAGGUGGAAUUCUCAGAUUUGUUAAAGACUAACUUAUGCGAAAGCAUUUGCCAAGGAUGUUUUCAUUAA
Molecule: ribosomal RNA, 372 nt
Filed under: uncultured eukaryote
Lineage: Eukaryota
Description: partial 18S ribosomal RNA
Rfam family: Eukaryotic small subunit ribosomal RNA
Source: RNAcentral